This 468-nucleotide ribosomal RNA is filed under the name uncultured bacterium. RNAcentral's name for it is "partial 16S ribosomal RNA". It matches the Rfam family "Bacterial small subunit ribosomal RNA", at positions 28 to 507 of the family's 1533-position model. The record is from RNAcentral.
GACGAACGCUGGCGGCGUGCUUAACACAUGCAAGUCGAACGGAAAGGCCCUGCUUUUGUGGGGUGCUCGAGUGGCGAACGGGUGAGUAACACGUGAGUAACCUGCCCUUGACUUUGGGAUAACUUCAGGAAACUGGGGCUAAUACCGGAUAGGAGCUCCUGCUGCAUGGUGGGGGUUGGAAAGUUUCGGCGGUUGGGGCUGGACUCGCGGCUUAUCAGCUUGUUGGUGGGGUAGUGGCUUACCAAGGCUGUGACGGGUAGCCGGCCUGAGAGGGUGACCGGCCACAAUGGGACUGAGAUACGGCGCAGACGCCUACGGGAGGCAGCAGUGGGGAAUAUGGCACAAUGGGCGGAAGCCUGAGGCAGCAACGCCGCGUGCGUGAUGACGGCCUUCGGGUGGUAAACCGCUUUCGCCUGUGACGAAGCGUGAGUGACGGUAAUGGGUAAAGAAGCACCGGCUAACUACGUG